This 847-nucleotide long non-coding RNA is filed under the name Vigna radiata. RNAcentral describes it as "long non-coding RNA (VRAD_LNC016830)". Lineage: Eukaryota; Viridiplantae; Streptophyta; Magnoliopsida; Fabales; Fabaceae. The record is from RNAcentral.
AACUGGGGGGAAUUCCUUGAUUAUGCUAAUAUCGCCUAGAGAUAGGGGUAGGACAUUCAUUGCAUUUGCUUCUGUUCAUCAUGCAUUAUUAAUUACUAGGGGAGGCUAGAGAUAGCAAGCCAGUAAUUAGUAAUAGGCUCUUUUCGCCAAGAGAUUGGGUUUAGGGUAGACUAAGAAAGUUUGCAUAACAAUUUGAUAAAUAAGCUAAUUAAAUAAGAAGAAUAAAUAAAAGAGAGUGGAUAAGAUGAAAUUGUAAACACCAACAACUUCAUUCAUUCAUACUUUUCUCUUGUCAAUUGAUUCAACUGCAUUUACAUGUUUAUUUUCUUUAUUUGCAAUCAACACUUAAAUUCUUUUCUUUUCAAGUCUUAUGCGAUUGAUCUACAUGAACGUUAAGGCCUGAGAGUUCCUUUGGGAAAACGAUACUCGGACUUACCCGUUUAAUUACUACUUGAUAACGAUCUAGUACACUUACCAAGGACUUAACAAGUUUUUGGCGCCGUUGCCGGGGAACUCUUGGUUUAACUUUUCUAGUAGUGUAGAUUGGUUUAAGUUUUUGACUUGAUUGUAUAUAUAUUUUGUUUUUUUUAGUUUAUUUUUAUUUAAAAGUGCUACUAGGGUUUGUGUUUCUUGUGCAUGCAGGAGACUAAACACACUAGGAGUAAGAAAAACACACAACUUCUUCUUGAAGGCUUAAUUGAUAGAAGGGGAAGGAGAGCUAGACGCUCAUCUAGGGAUUUGUUUCCUUCUCCUAGCAGAUCACUAUCACCUUCAUCAAAGCAUAGAACUGAGGAGAUGACUGAACAACCACCUCCCAGACGCACACUUGGUGAUGCCCAGAAUGUUG